AUAUGUUUGUUAUGGUAAUGUAGAAUAAUUUUGUAUCUUCAAAAAUUAAUUAAGUGUAAAAAAAGAAGAAAAAAAUCAAACAAUAUUGUUAUUUAUUACAUUAGACAUGUAAAAAUAUAUAUUCCCAUGGUCUGUAUAUAUAUGAAUAAAGAAGCCCAG
Molecule: non-coding RNA, 159 nt
Filed under: Heterosigma akashiwo
Lineage: Eukaryota; Raphidophyceae; Chattonellales; Chattonellaceae
Source: RNAcentral